CACGGAUUCUAGGAGGGUUCGUUACCGCUGAGCCACUACGGGAACUCUGAAAUUAAAGAUUCUUUCAUUUUAACUUUGGUAUACAGGAAACCACUGUAAGAUUUAGUUCCUUUCAAUACUAAUGGUUACAAAAGGAUAAACCAUACAAGAUGAAAAAUUUUAAAUCCCUUGCUACAACAAGAAAUGACAAGGUGCAUCCUAGUCUGUGGUCCCCUGUAUCUCACAUGGUGGGGGAAGGGUAUUUUCAGGAAUAAACACAUCAUUAUAAUGUAACAAGGGUUUGGGUUUAGUCUUUUUUUUUUUUUUUUGGCUGCACCCACGGCAUGUGGAAGUUCCUGGGGCCAGGGAUCAAACCCAAGCCACGGCAAUGACAGAGCCACAGCAGUGACAAUGCCAGAUCUUUAUAACUUGCUGAGCCGCCAGGGAACUCAUGGAUUUAGUUCUUUCAGCACAGGAGAAGUUUCGUAAAAUUUGAUUAGCUUUCCUCACAUCAAUUAAAACAGGAAUUCAAUUGCUUUAGCCUUUGAAAUAUCAAUAUUCUCUAAGGACAUGCACACGCUGAACACUGAUAUAAAAAUGAAACAAACACGUAGCUGAAAAUGUAAACACAUUCAUCUCCCACCUUGAGGUUCUCUCCCCUAAAAGGAACAAAGAUUCUAUUUAGUUCCACCAUUUUCUUGCCUUACUGACAUCCUCUCACUCAACUUACAUUUUUAAGCUCAAGACACUGAAAAUGCUAUUUCUUCCACAAAGAAUUAACUACAAAGUGCUAAGGAAAACUAGAUCCAAUGCACUUGCCAAUGGAUAAAAGAAUCCAAAGGCUAGAAACAAAUAUUGGAAUUGGCACAGAUAACUGGCCAGCGUCCCCCAGGGCAGAAGAAGCCACAUUUAGAAAGUUUGACACAUGAUAGGCUCGCCCCACUGAGAUGGAACAGCUGGACAGGGUCAGUCCCUAGAGGAGGAGGGUGGGGACACCUUAGUAGCCACAGGAAUGAACUCUGGGAGCCCCCCACAUCCUCCUUUCCCCGGGGAUUAAUGGAAAAUCUCCCCUUCUCAGGCUUCCAUUAUCACAGUGAGAAAACUCAGCAGGACUCAGGUUUUUCGGUUUUGUUUUUGUUUUUUUUUUUGUCUUUUGUCUUUUUAGGGCCGCACCGGUGGCAUAUGGAGAUUCCCAGGCUAAGGGUCUAAUCAGAGUUACAGCUGCCAACGUACACCACAGCCACAGCAACGGGGGAUCCGAGCCACACCUGUGACCUACACCACUGCUCACAGCAACGCUGGAUCCUUAACCCACUGAGUGAGGCCAGGAAUUGAACCCGAAACCUCAUGGUUCCUAGUUGGGUUCGUUUCCACCGCGCCACGAUGGGAACUCCCCAGGACUCAGUUUUUUUGUUUUUAUUUUUUGCGUUUUUAGGACUGCCCUUACAGCAUAUGGAAGUUCCCAGGCGAGGGGUCGGAUCAGUGGUACAGCUGCCAGCCUACACCAUAGCCACAGCAACACAGGAUCCGAGCCACGUCUUCAACCUACACCACACUCACAGCAACACCAGAUUGCUGACCCACUGAGCAAAGCCAGGGAUCGAACCUGCAUCCCCAUGGAUACUAAUCGGAUUAGUUUCUGCUGUGCCAUAACAGGAACUCCUGGCAGGAUUCAGUUUAAGGUUGAUUCAAAUAAACUUCCAAAUUCAUGAACCCUAACCCAGGACACAGAACAACUGACUGUCACAGACUUUCUCAGUGUAAACAAUAUACACUCUGAGGGCAGCUACACCUCGGACGCAAAACUCCAACCUAAGCCUAGAAACAGGCCCAAAGUGAACCACAGUUAAAACCUUGAAAGGGUAUUGCCACACUCCAUCUUCCCCCAAACCCCUUCUGUCGUGUGCACUUGCACCCCCAGCUUUCUAGGGCUCUGUAGCGUAUCUCCCUAUAAAGAUUCCCUCGUGGGUAUGAACAGGUAGGAUACAGAGCUUGGUUCCCCAGGAAGAAUCACCUGGGCCUUCAAGUACUUUCCUUUGCAGCCUCAAGGGGGCCUCACCUUGGGUUACUGACCUCAGGCUCUCCCAGUCACAUUGCUUUGGAUCAUGCUAAAGAUAUUUUAUUCUUUUUUUUCCUUUCCAGGGCCCCACCUGCAGCAAAUGGAAGUUCCCAGGCUAGGGGUCAAAUCAGAACUGCAGCUACUGGCCUCCAAGCCACAUCUGCAAUCUAUGCCACAGUUUAUAGCAACACCAGAUUCUUAACCCACUGAGCAAGGCCAGGGAUUGAACCCACAUCCUCAGGGAUACUAGUCGGAUUCUUAACCUGCUGAGCCACAAAGGGAACUCCCUGAUGAUAUUCUAAAUGACACAGUGACUGAAGAAUCCAGCAAAAUCACACAUACCUAGUGUUUAAGGAGAAAGGAGGGAAGAAAACUGCAAGGCAUUUUUUGAAUUCAACAGGAAAACCCCUAGGUAUCUAUUACUUUCAGAAAAUAAUGAUAUUCAUUAAUUAUUAUUCCCACAGCAAGAAACUGUUUAAUAAACAAAUAACUAUAUCUAAAUAGCUGAAGCCUAAGCCCUGGAAUUGCAUUUGAACACCUCCCCCCCCAACAAAAACCCUAAAACAAAGAGACCUCAGAAUAUUACUACACUUGCUUAGGGAAGGAAGAGAAACAAGAAUUUUUUUAUGUUUUAACACAUUCAAUGUAAUAUAAUGAUAUUUUCUUUUUUCUGAAAUUCACCUAUUUCUUGCCUCUUUGGAAAUAUUUUAUACCAUCUUUCAAGUUUCACUGAUUACUUAAAUUUUUAAGUUUUUUAAAUAACUGAGGCUCACAUAAAUGAAUAAAUCUUUUCAGGGUGACAAACCUGGGGAGGGGCAGUGCUGACAGGUCAGAUCACCCAGGAACAUUUCCAAAGAGCAAACUCUACACAAGAUGUCUGUGCCCAGGAAAGAUCCUGGGAAGAGUGGCACAAGGAUUUCACACAACUUAGUUUCAGGUGGUUAUUCUCAGUUUUCUUCCUCUCAUGGAAAAUAUCCACAGCUAAAAUAAAUCUUUAAAAAAAAACAAAACCUGAAUUCCCACUGUGGCACAAUGAGUUAAGAAUCUGACUGCAGCAGCUCUGGUCGCUGUGGAGGUGUGGGUUCAAUCCCCUGCCGUGGGUUAAAGGAUCUAGCAUUGCUGCAGUUGUGGCAUAGGUCUCAGCUGUGGCUCAGAUUCAGUCCCUGGCCAGGGAACUUCCAUAUGCUU
RNAcentral lists this long non-coding RNA (3226 nucleotides) under Sus scrofa (pig). RNAcentral's name for it is "lncRNA (multiple genes)". Lineage: Eukaryota; Metazoa; Chordata; Mammalia; Artiodactyla; Suidae. The record is from RNAcentral.